This 441-nucleotide ribosomal RNA is filed under the name uncultured bacterium. RNAcentral's name for it is "partial 16S ribosomal RNA". It matches the Rfam family "Bacterial small subunit ribosomal RNA", at positions 338 to 795 of the family's 1533-position model. The record is from RNAcentral.
CCUACGGGCGGCAGCAGUGGGGAAUAUUGCACAAUGGGGGAAACCCUGAUGCAGCGACGCCGUGUGAGUGAAGAAGUAUUUCGGUAUGUAAAGCUCUAUCAGCAGGGAAGAAGAAAGACGGUACCUGACUAAGAAGCCCCGGCUAACUACGUGCCAGCAGCCGCGGUAAUACGUAGGGGGCAAGCGUUAUCCGGAUUUACUGGGUGUAAAGGGAGCGUAGACGGCUGUGCAAGUCUGAAGUGAAAGCCCAGGGCUCAACCCUGGGACUGCUUUGGAAACUGGGGAGCUAGAGUGCUGGAGAGGUAAGUGGAAUGCGUAGUGUAGCGGUGAAAUGCGUAGAUAUUAGGAGGAACACCAGUGGCGAAGGCGGCUUACUGGACAGUAACUGACGUUGAGGCUCGAAAGCGUGGGGAGCGAACAGGAUUAGAUACCCCUGUAGUC